GUAGGGAAUCUUGCGCAAUGGGCGAAAGCCUGACGCAGCAACGCCGCGUGAGGGAAGAAGGCUUUCGGGUUGUAAACCUCUUUCAGGUGGGACGAAGCUUCCAGGGUUAAUAGCCCAUGGGGUGACGGUACCUCCAGAAGAAGCCCCGGCUAACUACGUGCCAGCAGCCGCGGUAAUACGUAGGGGGCAAGCGUUGUCCGGAAUCAUUGGGCGUAAAGCGCGUGUAGGCGGCUUGAUAAGUCCGGUGUGAAACCUUGGGGCUCAACCCCAAGCCUGCACCGGAUACUGUCUCGCUUGAGUUCGGGAGGGGAGAGCGGAAUUCCUAGUGUAGCGGUGAAAUGCGCAGAUAUUAGGAAGAACACCAAUGGCGAAGGCAGCUCUCUGGAACGAUACUGACGCUGAGACGCGAAAGCGUGGGGAGCGAACAGGAUUAGAAACCCUAGUAGUCC
Molecule: ribosomal RNA, 449 nt
Filed under: uncultured bacterium
Lineage: Bacteria
Description: bacterial SSU rRNA
Rfam family: Bacterial small subunit ribosomal RNA
Source: RNAcentral